This 378-nucleotide ribosomal RNA is filed under the name uncultured organism. Its description in RNAcentral is "partial 16S ribosomal RNA". It matches the Rfam family "Bacterial small subunit ribosomal RNA", at positions 527 to 896 of the family's 1533-position model. The record is from RNAcentral.
GUAGGUGGCAAGCGUUGUCCGGGAAUUAUUGGGGCGUAAAGCGCGCGCAGGCGGUUCGUUUAAGUCUGAUGUGAAAGCCCACGGGCUCAACCGUGGAGGGUCAUUGGAAACUGGAGAACUUGAGUACAGAAGAGGAAAGCGGAAUUCCACGUGUAGCGGUGAAAAUGCGUAGAGAUGUGGAGGAACACCAGUGGCGAAGGCGGCUUUCUGGUCUGUAACUGACGCUGAGGCGCGAAAGCGUGGGGAGCAAACAGGAUUAGAUACCCUGGUAGUCCACGCCGUAAACGAUGAGUGCUAAGUGUUAGGGGGGUUUCCGCCCCUUAGUGCUGCAGCUAACGCAUUAAGCACUCCGCCUGGGGAGUACGGCCGCAAAGGCUG